GACGAACGCUGGCGGCGUGCUUAACACAUGCAAGUCGAACGGAAAGGCCCUGCUUUUGUGGGGUGCUCGAGUGGCGAACGGGUGAGUAACACGUGAGUAACCUGCCCUUGACUUUGGGAUAACUUCAGGAAACUGGGGCUAAUACCGGAUAGGAGCUCCUGCUGCAUGGUGGGGGUUGGAAAGUUUCGGCGGUUGGGGAUGGACUCGCGGCUUAUCAGCUUGUUGGUGGGGUAGUGGCUUACCAAGGCUUUGACGGGUAGCCGGCCUGGGAGGGGGACCGGCCACAUUGGGACUGGGCUGCGGCCCAGACUCCUACGGGAGGCAGCAGUGGGGAAUAUUGCACAAUGGGCGGAAGCCUGAUGCAGCAACGCCGCGUGCGGGAUGACGGCCUUCGGGUUGUAAACCGCUUUCGCCUGUGACGAAGCGUGAGUGACGGUAAUGGGUAAAGAAGCACCGGCUAACUACGUG
RNAcentral lists this ribosomal RNA (468 nucleotides) under uncultured bacterium. RNAcentral's name for it is "partial 16S ribosomal RNA". It matches the Rfam family "Bacterial small subunit ribosomal RNA", at positions 28 to 507 of the family's 1533-position model. The record is from RNAcentral.